RNAcentral lists this long non-coding RNA (495 nucleotides) under Taeniopygia guttata (zebra finch). RNAcentral describes it as "lncRNA (ENSTGUG00000026488.1)". Lineage: Eukaryota; Metazoa; Chordata; Aves; Passeriformes; Estrildidae. The record is from RNAcentral.
UAGCCAUGAAUCCAGGCAGUGACGCAGAGCACAGACCUGCGAGCGUGCCCAAGCUGGCCUGGGGGAAGGAGGAGAAAGAAGGCCCUGGAGCUGCCCCAGCACAGCAGCCUGAAGAGGUGGAGCAGUUCCAGCCACUGCAGAAGGGUGCAGCCGUGCAGCGCACACGAGAGCAGGAACGCACCCGUGGCCGCUUCCGCAGAACAGCGCAGAUGGUUUGCAAAUUCAUGAAGAGGAUUCGGGAGGAAGAGAGCAGCGUCGUGGGCGCUGUGGUCAGAGCGUACUCUCCCAUCUUCAAAACCAAGACCAGUGCUGCCCUGCUGGAUAUGCUUGUGGAGGAGGGUCCUUCCAGCCCAAAGCAAGUGCCCGCCAUGGUGAGGUACAUCCACCUGUUGCUGGUGGCCAAUGAGUUUCCUGAGUACAAUCUGUACAGGCCCCUCCUGGAUCUGACAGAGGCACAGCCCUCUGACGUGGUGAUGGCUCUCCUGCGUGUGGCCC